RNAcentral lists this ribosomal RNA (425 nucleotides) under uncultured bacterium. Its description in RNAcentral is "partial 16S ribosomal RNA". It matches the Rfam family "Bacterial small subunit ribosomal RNA", at positions 354 to 796 of the family's 1533-position model. The record is from RNAcentral.
GUUAGGAAUAUUGGACAAUGGGCGCAAGCCUGAUCCAGCCAUGCCGCGUGAGUGAUGAAGGCCUUAGGGUUGUAAAGCUCUUUCACCGAUGAAGAUAAUGACGGUAGUCGGAGAAGAAGCCCCGGCUAACUUCGUGCCAGCAGCCGCGGUAAUACGAAGGGGGCUAGCGUUGUUCGGAUUUACUGGGCGUAAAGCGCACGUAGGCGGUUUGUUAAGUCAGGGGUGAAAUCCCGGAGCUCAACUCCGGAACUGCCUUUGAUACUGGCAAGCUGGAGUCCGGAAGAGGUAAGUAGAACUCCUAGUGUAGAGGUGGAAUUCGUAAAUAUUAGGAAGAACACCAGUGGCGAAGGCGGCUUACUGGUCCGGAACUGACGCUGAGGUGCGAAAGCGUGGGGAGCAAACAGGAUUAGAUACCCGAGUAGUCC